Mustela lutreola (European mink) is the source of this 693-nucleotide long non-coding RNA. RefSeq lists it as uncharacterized. The transcript has 4 exons. The record is from RefSeq and is a predicted model, not a curated record. Lineage: Eukaryota; Metazoa; Chordata; Mammalia; Carnivora; Mustelidae.
GCUGCCAUGCCAUGCUUUCCGCGGCCAGCCUCGCUCAGGGUCCGUGGGCGGCACGAAGACGGGACUGCCGGAGGCUGUCGGCUGACUGGACUCCCAGUGCUGAAGCGGAGGCCAUGAAUACUCCCAGCAUUCAGCUCUUAACUGAAGCAUGUGUGCUGUCUUGGUAGCAGAAGUUAUGACUAUCAAUCUUCUAGGCCUUCAGCCCCAUCCACUGGAUUCAAAAGAAGCUUCAGCCAUGGCAACUAAGCCCUUAUACAUCCUCCAGACUUUAAUAGGAAUGAUGAGGGGGCCUUCGUUCUUGCUGUGAACCUGACAUUCCCAGGCAUCCUCCAGUCCACCUGUGGCACUCAGGAGGGAGCACACACAUUUGGUGAACCCAGCCUGGUGUUACUUAAAGUCUACUAUCACCAAGACCCCGCUGCUCUUUCUCCUCUUCCAUGUAAUUCUCACAAGUCUGGGCUUCUGAGGUAGGCUAUGGAGUGACUGCUGCCCUUGGAUUUCUACUAUUGUUGGUUUUUUUAUGUUCUUCUUCUUUUUUUCCCCCCCAGAGGGAGAGUUUUUGAAAAAUUGGAAUUUGGGUGGCUGGCGUUUUUAUCCUAAGGAAAAACUCCAGAAGUUGUCUUCUGAUUUUUUGUUCCGUUUUGGUUUGUUUUCUGAAAGAGGUAGAAAACAAGACCAUCAGCUGAAUGAGGG